CCUACGGGAGGCAGCAGUGGGGAAUAUUGGACAAUGGGGGGAACCCUGAUCCAGCGACGCCGCGUGAGUGAAGAAGUAUUUCGGUAUGUAAAGCUCUAUCAGCAGGGAAGAAAGAAAUGACGGUACCUGACUAAGAAGCCCCGGCUAACUACGUGCCAGCAGCCGCGGUAAGACGUAGGGGGCAAGCGUUAUCCGGAUUUACUGGGUGUAAUGGGAGCGUAGACGGUGAGUCAAGUCUGAAGUGAAAGGCGGGGGCUCAACCCCCGGACUGCUUUGGAAACUGUAAGGCUGGAGUGCAGGAGAGGUAAGUAGAAUUCCAAGUGUAGCGGUGAAAUGCGUAGAUAUUAGGAGGAACACCAGUGGCGAAGGCGGCUUACUGGACUGUAACUGACGUUGAGGCUCGAAAGCGUGGGGAGCAAACAGGAUUAGAUACCCUGGUAGUC
Molecule: ribosomal RNA, 443 nt
Filed under: uncultured bacterium
Lineage: Bacteria
Description: partial 16S ribosomal RNA
Rfam family: Bacterial small subunit ribosomal RNA
Source: RNAcentral